RNAcentral lists this ribosomal RNA (492 nucleotides) under uncultured bacterium. Its description in RNAcentral is "partial 16S ribosomal RNA". It matches the Rfam family "Bacterial small subunit ribosomal RNA", at positions 29 to 507 of the family's 1533-position model. The record is from RNAcentral.
AGUGAACGCUGGCGGUAGGCCUAACACAUGCAAGUCGAACGGCAGCACAGUAAGAGCUUGCUCUUACGGGUGGCGAGUGGCGGACGGGUGAGGAAUACAUCGGAAUCUACUUUUUCGUGGGGGAUAACGUAGGGAAACUUACGCUAAUACCGCAUACGACCUACGGGUGAAAGCAGGGGAUCUUCGGACCUUGCGCGAUUGAAUGAGCCGAUGUCGGAUUAGCUAGUUGGCGGGGUAAAGGCCCACCAAGGCGACGAUCCGUAGCUGGUCUGAGAGGAUGAUCAGCCACACUGGAACUGGGACACGGUCCAGACUCCUACGGCAGGCAGCAGUGGGGAAUAUUGGACAAUGGGCGCAAGCCUGAUCCAGCCAUACCGCGUGGGUGAAGAAGGCCUUCGGGUUGUAAAGCCCUUUUGUUGGGAAAGAAAAGCAGCAGGUUAAUACCCCGCUGUUCUGACGGUACCCAAAGAAUAAGCACCGGCUAACUUCGUG